This is a non-coding RNA of Anas platyrhynchos (mallard), 6597 nucleotides long. Lineage: Eukaryota; Metazoa; Chordata; Aves; Anseriformes; Anatidae. The record is from RefSeq and is a predicted model, not a curated record.
CGGGGCCCGGCCGCGAUGGCGGCGCCUCCCAACGGCCGCUGCCCGGGGGAGGGCGGGGGGCUGAGGGCGGGGGGGCGGCGGCGCCGCGUCCUGAGCCCCAACAGCGGCGGCGGCGGCGAGGUGACAGGUUCCCCACCACGUGACAAUCAAGAUCACAGCAGCCUCCAUCUGCAGCACAGUCAGUGAAGACGACCACAAUAUCCAAGACAUGGAGGAGAACUCUACUCAGCCCUGCACUGGAAAUGUUUUCCUUUCAAUAAGUUGUGUAUGUUUUGUCCAUGUAAGUGGUUGGUGUUGCAGAACGUAUCUGCAGUAAAGAAGGAAAGUGUAUCCCACAUUUCAAGUAUUAUCCAGGAGACCAGAUCGAUUCCUUUGGUGCUGAAAGUGAUUUUUGUGUGUACCUUGCAUAAAUCUGUAUCGCAGUUUGAAUCUUAAUAACAUACUAAAUGUUGUAAACACCCAUUAGCUACUUAAAUGUGCAAGCUUUUAGAAAUCUGAAAUUAGAUUAUUUACUGGGCUUUUAGGUGGAAUAAGCUUUAAUUACUGUUAUAUUCUAUUAAUAUGCAAUAACCGUAUUGGUGUUGCCUAACAGAUUGACAGUUGUGAAACAAGCAGUCAGACUUGUGCAGUAGCUGAUUUUCCAUCUUUUCAGCAUCCAGCUGGUUUUGUCAGAGGUCACACACAGCAUUUCUGUAAUAAAAUGUUUUCAUUUGUAAAAAAAAAUGCCUGUUUGGUUGUUAAACAACAGGCAGGAAGUUUUGUAACAGCUAUGUGGAAGGAGAUGAGCAGAUUCAGCCAGACUGGAUCAGAAUUUUGGGAAACGGAAGAGAACAGCAAAAGCUUGUUGUGCCUUUACCACCUCCUCCAGCUCCCAGUGACAUGCAGGAAGUGGGCUGCCCCUGCGCUCAAAUAUUUGCUGUGGUUUCUCUUGCUGAUCCAAUGAUAGGAAUUUUAACAGACUAUGUGCUUCAGUUUUGCUGUGUCAUCACGAAAGGCUUUCCUAACAAGGUCAGGAUAAGAAGUAAAAUGGGGCCUUCCCAUUUAGGUAUUUAUCUGAACAGAAAAACAGCAUAUCCAGCGUUUCAUAAGGUGGAAUAGCACAUACGUGGUUCAGUUUCUCUUUAUGUGACUACCAAAGUUUUACUGAACUACUGUUUAUUCAAUUGAAAUUAUUUUAAUAUUAGUGAAUUAUUAAAGUAAGUGGCCAGGCUCUCACAAGAGCAAGCUUCAUGAACAGAAGUCCCUACCAAGUAUAUAAAAACUUUUGAGUGUAAUUUAAGACUUUCUAUGCAUAUUUUUGUGCAGGCUGAAUCCUGCUCCUUUGUGAUUGGUCAGAAUAGCUCAAAGACAAAAGUCCCAAGUGAUAUUGAAUGGAAGAUGAUGCCGUGAUUUCUUUCAGUUAAAUACAUGGCUUAUAUGCAUAUAUAGUAGGCAGAUUACUGUUAAAAGAGCAGUUCUCUCUCCAAAUCAACCCACUUAAAUGAGCAAAGGAGCUGUUGAAACAGAGGAGAGCUGUGACGUGCCCAUCCUGAUCUUUUUUUUGCUGAAGCCCUGUCCCAGCAUAGCAGUUGUUUUACUGAAAGGUCUGUGCUGCUGGGUUUUGUUGCUGUUUUAGAGCAUGCUGGUUGGUUUUAGAUGCAGGUCUCUGGGCUGGAUUAGAACAAAGUUCUAUGUCAGGUAAAUUAACAGGUUUAAGAUAAAUCAUCUCAGGCUCACGUGCCUCAUUUUAAUAUGACUGGUUCUGAAGAGAACCGGGGUACAGGUUACAGGUUUACACAAGUCUAAUUUUCCACAAAACUCUCUAUAUAUUAGAUUAUUUUUAGCCUAAACCAAGGCUUAAUUUUUCAACAAAAUAAGGGAUUAAAAUUUUUAUUUAUAUUUAAUUUUCAUUAUGGAUGUUUACCAUGACAUAUCAUCAAUGUAAAUUGUGGACCCAGCCAUUCAAAUCAUCUCUAUCCAUAUUUGAAAGUGACUUUACCAUUACCCCUUAUUUGCUGGUGAAAUAUUUCAUUAUUUGUCACAGUCUCAAGAUCAGACAUUCCAGAUGUCAGUACAUCUCUUCUGAUGAGAAAAUUGUGGAAUUACGUUUGUUUGUUUGUUUGUUUUGUUAUUUUUUGUUUGUUUGUUUGUUUUCUAACAUGAUAGUUCUCCCAUCAUUAUAACUAACCAUUUCAUUUCUCCAUUUUAAUGAAAAAAAGUUGGUUUUUUUGAAGAAAAGCUGUUAGUGGUACGCAAGCACCUCUCUUACAGUAACAAAGGAUGCACACAUUAAGGGUAAAUGGAAAGAGAGGAGAUAAACAGCCCCCUCCAUGGUCUUCCUGAGGGAAAGCUCACACUUGACGCAUCUGCAGGGGAACCGUAGGGGAAAGUAUCAGCUUGCAAACAGUGUAUGGGAAAAAACAAUUACACCUAACAGUCAGCUGUUCUGUUCCUUACGAAAUGCACCCUACAAUGUCAUCCGAAUCCCUUCUUCGUCCAGUGUAAGACUCCUUUUCUAUGCAUUUCAGUUUCACUAAGCAGAUUGAAUACUAUUUGAAGGUUUCCUAUUUCAAAUACAGUGUAUAUUUUCCUCUCCAGGCUUCUCACUUCUUCCAGCUUUUGCUCUGUUCUUUCAGUGAAGUCUUUGCUGCCUCUUUUUCUCCAGUCUCUGUUUCACAUUCAGUGUUUUAUCUAUCAUGCCGUGAUUCUCUUCUUGGGUGACAUCUUUAAAAUCUCUCUGUCAUCACCAGCAUAACUGUGCUUCAUAUCUUAUUCAUUACUUGAUUGUUGCAACAUCUUUUUUUGGCCUCCAUUCUUCCCACUCUCCAGACAAAGCUAUUCUUUACUGUCCCUCUCAAGCCUCUUCAGCAUUUGCACCAGCUCUGUACCUCUUUCUGAUGGCUGCAUCCAAUUAUCAACCCUUCUUUCCCAUAAGACCGUGUGCACUGCCUGCUGUCCCUUAAUAAUCAUGCUAAAAUCUACACUUUUCCCGAAGAGCAAGACAAAACACAGAAGCAAAAAAGAAUGCAUGGUGGAAUUUGCUUCUCAAUACAAUUACUGCCAAGUUAUACCUAGUUUUCUUUAGAAAGUGUACUGCAUUCAUUUAUAUACCUCUGCAGCAUGUGCGUAUGCCCUUGCAUGCCUAGAUUGGCGUACACCCCAAGUGGUAAAUUCUCCCAGCAUACUUCAGUCAAUACUUAUUUAUUCUCGUCUGGCUUUAGUUGUAGCCUUAAUCUAAGGUUCAAUAGUUUCUAUGCCUUUGCUCAUGUAUUAUGCAGAGUUCAGGAAGGAAUUACCAUGUAAAUGUCAGCUUCCCAUGAUCUCAGCUCUUUGCAAGUAAUUCAGUCCAGACACAGAAAUUAGAACUGAACUUGGAAGUUAUGUUUGCCUCCAUACUAACCACAUACACUUCAUUCUUCAUGCACCAAAGGUAUAAAUACAUGUAUUUAGCAAGCAGAUGCUGUGAUUUUAAAAGCUGUGUUAUUGCCAGAGCACCCAAGGAGACUCAGCGUGAAUCAUGUGCACUUAUGUUUGUUUAGGUGCAAAGUCCAGUGACUUGGCUUAAGCUCCUUUUGAAGGUGAGUUUAAAGCUAAGCUCUCAGAUUUUUUUUAUUUUGUUUUUUAACUGAGGCAAUUAAAGGGAAAGUACAGGUUGCAUGCUGCUUUGAGAUUGGCAGCACGUGGCAAGCAGGUUGAAAACACACCAGGCAUUACUAGGACUUUGUAUCCACUGCAGUGCAUUUUCCAGAGCCCAUCUAAACCACACUUUUGCACAGCUCCAAGAUCCUUAAUGCAAGGGGUUUCUCUUCCUAGUCAUUUUAAGUGUAUUGUAUCAAGUAAAAAAUUUGAGUUGGGUGCUAGGGUGUGUGAAAUCUGAGACUUACUCAAAGCAAUUAGCUGAGUAACUAUUCAUCUUAAAUUGUUUUCCUACAAUGUUUUCAGGCCAUGACUAACUCCCACUGUACUACACCCAUCUUUUCCAGCAUUCAUGACUGAUAUUUUGAGCAUAUGCUAGAAGAACACUUUAUGAAGAACAAACAUAUAUUUCAUUUUGGGACCCUUUGCUCAAUUAUUACAUACCUACUAGGUAGAUUUUUAAGCAAAAGAAGCAUACAUGCAGUUGGGCUGAUGCUUUUCAGGUGCCACUUCUUGCUUCACACUUCAGUUGUUCACAUCCUCAUUCAGAUAUUUCUCACCAUUCUUUAAAUUAGUCAGCUCUGUCAUGUGAAUAUCAUAAUUAAUUCCCAAAGAGAUUUUUGAAAGCAAGACAGUACUUCAAAAAUUGCUUAAAAUGUUUGACAAAAUAAUUUGCAAACAUUCAGGGCAGGCUCAUCUGAGGCCAGCAGCAGAAAGACCAUAGUUUUCUGAUAUUGUGGCCUACCUUUUCUUAUCCUCAUGCAAUGCUGCAUCACCCUUCCAUUUUCCCACCACCAGCUCUUUGCAGGGCCGUGCUGUGAACCAGAUCAGGAGGCCUGGUCAGCUGAAAAAUAAUUUUUAAAAGCUGCAGGAAAUAGGAAUCAUUUCCUGACCUAAUUCCUGGCACAUCCCCCAUGUACCGGAGAGGUGUCAUGCUGCAAUGAAGGAAUGCUGACUGAUUCCUUCCAUCUGUGGUACCUCUGAAACCUGCCUGGCCCCAAACCAUGGUCAGGCCUGAACAGAGAAACAGAGGAGAAGACAGCAGCAGGUGAGCUGAGGAAUCAGGAAAGAGAGAGAAGAGCUUGUUUUGUUAGAAGGUGGCUACAGGGAAUCCUGAAAAAGAAGGUGAUUCUCAAAUGGAUGAAGAACAAAAUCGGUAGAUGUCUGUAGAACCAGCACGUGGGGUUGCCCUCUUUACUUGGAUGUGAAGAAUGUAAACAGCAGCAGGAGCUGUGAUGUUCAAAACUCUCUGAAUUUAGAAACCAGGAAAGGAAGUAUUUCAGCAACACCAAAGCAUCCACUGCUAACACUGUAUUUAUCCAAACUGUAAUGAACAACUUUAAAUAAGAAGAGCUUAUGGAGCCAUGUUUAGCUGGAAGAUCUGUGUGGGAGAGGGGUGGAUACCUUUGGACUUUGUUAAUAAUUAAGUGGAGGAGUGUGCUAAAGCCUAUGGAAUGGAUAGUAUGGCAGUAAAAAUACCAUGACUCACUGAAGUCUGAGGUUAACAAACAGACAGAAGUAAACAGUAUUGCACAUGACAGAUCCUUGUGCAGCUAGACCUGUCUCUCUUUAGUGAAACUGUGUAUGAAAUGCUUCCUUCGCUUCUGGAAACCUUGUGGAAAUAAUCUGAUACUGAACCUGAGAGAAAUAAAACCUGUUGCAUUCAGAGUUGGAUCCAAAUCUAGUGCAGGUUUUUUUUUUUUCAUUUGUUUUUGGUAAUAAUUCCUAAGGUAAUAUCUUGCCUGUUAAAGAAAAAAUACACAAAGAAACCUUAUUUUCUCAGAUCACUUAGCUCCAAAUGCAGUGAGUGCCAGGAUAAAAAUCUGGCUAUAUAGUUUAAAAAAGGCAACAGCAAAGCAUUCUGUGUGUUGCAGGCCUUUCUAAUCUGCUUUUCUGUAUAUUAGUGUCACCAGAUAUUCAGUUUUUCACUGAAUUGUUUUAGGGGGCCUCUCCUACUUUUUUAAAUUGUUAUUAAUUCUUAUCUAUAUUAAUAUAAUUUUCUCCCUUUCACCUUCUGUUCAUGCCUUGAGGUAACACUCAGUCUGCUGCUACACUUUAUAGGAACUGGCAGACCAAAUUCAUCCUGUUAGUAUGCAAAGGAGCAAAUAUUCAGAAGAUGUUCUCCUAUCAGCUACUUGCUGCUCACGGAGUUUAUAUGCAGUUCUUAUUUGGGUUCCCUAUUUUGACAACCAUAGCUGGAGACCCCAGAGGUUCCCAAGCCACUGGGAAGCAGCAAGAAUGGGACAUGAAAAACUAGUAAGUGCCAUUCUACAAGAAACUAAGUACAAGAAGCAGAAUACAAGAGCAUUUAAUUAGAGACUUUGCAUAGAUUUCACAUCUUUUUUAAGUCAUGCUACCCUAUUGCAGUUUCUUUGAUUACCUAAUCCAUCUGCAUGUAUGCCUGCAAAUAUUUGCUAAAGAACUCAAAAUAUUUGCUGUUUAUCCUGGGGAGCAGUACUACAAAUAUUUGUUUAAUGUCCUGACUAGGAUUUUCAGAUGUAUCAGCUCACUCAAUAUAUCUUUAAUUUAUUUCCAAUUAAUCUAGAAAGAAAAAAUCUAUCUUCUGUAUUCCUACCCUGUAUGUCUCUUUUUGAAAUGUUUACAUUCUAGGAGUUUACCCAUUGAAGAUAUGCAAAAGAAAAUGUGCCCUGUCAGUCUCACACAUGUCAACAGGUCUGUCAUCUUUAAAAAAAAAAUCCUUUAAUGCAAUAUACCAAUAUACUUGCAGUGAGCUCCCUGCACCACUGAGAAAAUGGGGUGAAGACAAGGCACUGUUAUGUUAUCAUAGGGUAAAUGAGGCUAAGAUUAACCAAGGGUGUGAGUGUGCUGACUUCACCUAAUUGCCUGGCAGUGCUGUCUCUCCACUUAAGAUUUUACAGUUAGAUUAGCUAUUACAUAUUACUGUGCUCUAAGACAAGUGCUUUGGUGUAAAUAAAAACAAGAACCUUUUUUUUUUUUUUUUUUUUUUUUAAUCCAACAAAA